GGAUCCAGACUUUGAUUAUGGCUCAGGAUGAACGCUAGCUACAGGCUUAACACAUGCAAGUCGAGGGGCAGCGGUAUCGGAAGCUUGCUUUCGGUAGCCGGCGACCGGCGCACGGGUGAGUAACGCGUAUCGAACCUGCCUCAUACUCGGGAAUAGCCUUGCGAAAGUAAGAUUAAUGCCCGGUGUUUUCAGAGUCCCGCAUGAGGCUUUGAACAAAGAUUUAUCGGUAUGAGAUGGCGAUGCGUCCCAUUAGCUUGUUGGCGGGGUAACGGCCCACCAAGGCAUCGAUGGGUAGGGGUUCUGAGAGGAAGGUCCCCCACAUUGGAACUGAGACACGGUCCAAACUCCUACGGGAGGCAGCAGUGAGGAAUAUUGGUCAAUGGGCGGAAGCCUGAACCAGCCAAGUAGCGUGCAGGAAGACGGCCCUCCGGGUUGUAAACUGCUUUUAGUUGGGAAUAAAACGGGGCUCGUGAGCCCCCUUGCAUGUACCAUCAGAAAAAGGACCGGCUAAUUCCGUGCCAGCAGCCGCGGUAAUACGGAAGGUCCGGGCGUUAUCCGGAUUUAUUGGGUUUAAAGGGAGCGCAGGCGGACCUUUAAGUCAGCUGUGAAAUACGGCGGCUCAACCGUCGAACUGCAGUUGAUACUGGAGGUCUUGAGUGCACACAGGGAUGCUGGAAUUCAUGGUGUAGCGGUGAAAUGCUCAGAUAUCAUGAAGAACUCCGAUCGCGAAGGCAGGCAUCCGGGGUGCAACUGACGCUGAGGCUCGAAAGUGCGGGUAUCAAACAGGAUUAGAUACCCUGGUAGUCCGCACAGUAAACGAUGAAUACUCGCGGUUUGCGAUACAGUGUAAGCCGCCAAGCCAAAGCGUUAAGUAUUCCACCUGGGGAGUACGCCGGCAACGGUGCAACUCAAAGGAAUUGACGG
RNAcentral lists this ribosomal RNA (924 nucleotides) under uncultured Bacteroidota bacterium. RNAcentral's name for it is "bacterial SSU rRNA". It matches the Rfam family "Bacterial small subunit ribosomal RNA", at positions 1 to 916 of the family's 1533-position model. Lineage: Bacteria; Pseudomonadati; Bacteroidota. The record is from RNAcentral.